RNAcentral lists this ribosomal RNA (466 nucleotides) under uncultured bacterium. RNAcentral's name for it is "bacterial SSU rRNA". It matches the Rfam family "Bacterial small subunit ribosomal RNA", at positions 329 to 792 of the family's 1533-position model. The record is from RNAcentral.
CUCCAGACUCCUACGGGAGGCAGCAGUGAGGAAUAUUGGUCAAUGGGCGCGAGCCUGAACCAGCCAAGUCGCGUGAGGGAAGACGGCCCUACGGGUUGUAAACCUCUUUUGCCGGGGAGCAACGGGCGCCACGUGUGGCGCCACUGAGAGUACCCGGAGAAAAAGCAUCGGCUAACUCCGUGCCAGCAGCCGCGGUAAUACGGAGGAUGCGAGCGUUAUCCGGAUUUAUUGGGUUUAAAGGGUGCGUAGGCGGAGCUUUAAGUCGGGGUAAAAAUGGGGGGCCACACCCCCUCCCCGCCAUUGAAACUGGCGCUCUUGAGUGGAAGAGAAGUAUGCGGAAUGCGUGGUGUAGCGGUGAAAUGCAUAGAUAUCACGCAGAACCCCGAUUGCGAAGGCAGCAUGCCGGCUUCCGACUGACGCUGAAGCACGAAAGCGUGGGGAUCGAACAGGAUUAGAUACCCGAGUA